This 1272-nucleotide long non-coding RNA is filed under the name Homo sapiens (human). Its description in RNAcentral is "HSALNT0187228". The record is from RNAcentral. Lineage: Eukaryota; Metazoa; Chordata; Mammalia; Primates; Hominidae.
AACAGUUCUACCUGGAGCGGUUCAAGAGGGACAGGUUGGGGAGUUUGAAUCGUCUGUGCUCUUCAGUGGCUUUUCCCUGGGUGCAGAGCUGGAACGCACUCCCAUGUUGCCCUCCAGACCUGUGGGGCCGCUGCAAAAGAAAAUCUGCGUGAACUCAACGGCCUUGGAUGGAGCGGGCAGGAGCUGCUUCCAAGUUGAGACCCUUUGCAGAUUGGUGAGCAACUUUGCAAUGAGGAGCAGGAUCCUGAGAGAGAACAGAAGACCCUGACCCAUUGGUGCUCACUGAGCCUUGCCAACCUGUCAGAAAUGUUCGCCAUCGAGACUUGAAAGCAAAGAAAGUAAGGCCCAAGUCAUAAACUGGAAACAAAUCAAUAUCCAUCAACUGGUGAAUGGAUACAGAAGAUUUGGCAUAUCUACACCACAAGGGAACUACUCAGCAAUAGAAAGGAAUGAACUACUGAUAUAUGCAACAACACAGAUAAAACUCAAAAACAGUGUGCUAAGUGAAAAAAAACAGCCACAAAAGACACAUAAUAGAUGACUCCGUUUAUAUGAAAUCUAAUCAUAUGAAAAGAAAAGGCAAAAGUAGAGAAACAGAAAGCAGACAUUUUUCUUUGUAACCAGAACACCAAUUUUUGGAUUAUACAUACAUCUAUUUGGUGCCUCAGGAGGUUUUUACCCUAUGGGACAGUGGACCUUUGUGAUAUCCUGGGAGAAGGAAAGAUUUGCCUUCCUUUUAUAAGUGGUAGAAAUAGCUAUUGGGAAGGAGAAACAGUGUGGUGCUUGAAAUGCUGACCUCAGACAAGUCAUUUUAAGGAAACAAUACACGUGAUGUUAUGUCAGAUUCAGAGCAACCCCAGGAAACGUAUCUUACAGAACUGAUCUGGAAGGAUGUGCACUUGUCAGAAACAGCACUUUAUUUUAUUCCCCUCUUUAUUAGAGACACAAACUAGCUCACUUUAUUCAGAAGAAAACUAAGGUAACAUUUUGUUUUGACGUUGUUCCUAUUUAGGAUACUGAUUUGAUUCGCAAAGGUUCUAAAGAUUGUGGAUGUGUCUUUUUAUAGAUUACUUCUCCUUUAUUACAUCUCCCAAAAAGCAAGGCUUAGGAGAAUAUAUUCUGAAUUUAGGUUUCAACUAUUGUGGAUUUUUUUUCAAGGAUCUUUUUUUUUUGGAACUUAUUGAACAAAUCAAAGAUUUUCAGAGGACUUUCUAUUCUGGGUAUGCUAUAGCUCUGAUUGGAAAAUUCUAACAUGCUCUGACUAUACGUUAU